UACGGAGGGUGCAAGCGUUAAUCGGAAUUACUGGGCGUAAAGGGCACGCAGGUGGCUGAGUGAGUCGGAUGUGAAAGCCCCGGGCUUAACCUGGGAAUUGCAUUCGAUACUGCUCAGCUAGAGUAUGGGAGAGGAAAGUGGAAUUCCCGGUGUAGCGGUGAAAUGCGUAGAUAUCGGGAGGAACAUCAGUGGCGAAGGCGGCUUUCUGGCCCAAUACUGACACUCAUGUGCGAAAGCGUGGGGAGCAAACAGG
Molecule: ribosomal RNA, 253 nt
Filed under: uncultured bacterium
Lineage: Bacteria
Description: partial 16S ribosomal RNA
Rfam family: Bacterial small subunit ribosomal RNA
Source: RNAcentral